UCGGAUCAGGUAGGGAUACCCGCUGAACUUAAGCAUAUCAAUAAGCGGAGGAAAAGAAACUAACAAGGAUUCCCCUAGUAACGGCGAGUGAAGCGGGAAGAGCUCAAAUUUGAAAUCUGGUGGCCUCAGGUCAUCCGAGUUGUAAUCUAUAGAAGUGUUUUCCGUGCUGGCUCAUGUACAAGUCCCUUGGAACAGGGCGUCAUAGAGGGUGAGAAUCCCGUCCU
This 224-nucleotide ribosomal RNA is filed under the name Prymnesium polylepis. RNAcentral's name for it is "partial Eukaryotic large subunit ribosomal RNA". It matches the Rfam family "Eukaryotic large subunit ribosomal RNA", at positions 1 to 227 of the family's 3401-position model. Lineage: Eukaryota; Haptophyta; Prymnesiales; Prymnesiaceae. The record is from RNAcentral.